Molecule: ribosomal RNA, 305 nt
Filed under: uncultured bacterium
Lineage: Bacteria
Description: bacterial SSU rRNA
Rfam family: Bacterial small subunit ribosomal RNA
Source: RNAcentral
CCUACGGGAGGCAGCAGUGGGGGAUAUUGCACAAUGGGGGGAACCCUGAUGCAGCGACGCCGCGUGGGUGAAGGAGCGUUUCGGCGCGUAAAGCCCUAUCGGCAGGGAAGAAGAUGACGGUACCUGACCAAGAAGCCCCGGCUAACUACGUGCCAGCAGCCGCGGUAAUACGUAGGGGGCAAGCGUUAUCCGGAUUUACUGGGUGUAAAGGGGGCGCAGACGGCAAUGCAAGCCAGGAGUGAAAGCCCGGGGCCCAACCCCGGGACUGCUCUUGGAACUGCAUGGCUGGAGUACAGGAGGGGCAG